This 94-nucleotide transfer RNA is filed under the name Drosophila simulans. It matches the Rfam family "tRNA". From Rfam's summary of the family: Transfer RNA (tRNA) molecules are approximately 80 nucleotides in length. Their secondary structure includes four short double-helical elements and three loops (D, anti-codon, and T loops). Further hydrogen bonds mediate the characteristic L-shaped molecular structure. tRNAs have two regions of fundamental functional importance: the anti-codon, which is responsible for specific mRNA codon recognition, and the 3' end, to which the tRNAs corresponding amino acid is attached (by aminoacyl-tRNA synthetases). tRNAs cope with the degeneracy of the genetic code in two manners: having more than one tRNA (with a specific anti-codon) for a particular amino acid; and 'wobble' base-pairing, i.e. permitting non-standard base-pairing at the 3rd anti-codon position. Lineage: Eukaryota; Metazoa; Arthropoda; Insecta; Diptera; Drosophilidae. The record is from Rfam by way of RNAcentral.
CCUUCGAUAGCUCAGUUGGUAGAGCGGUGGACUGUAGUUGGAAAAACGUGCAAUAGAUAUCCAUAGGUCGCUGGUUCAAAUCCGGCUCGAAGGA